CCUACGGGCGGCAGCAGUGGGGAAUAUUGGACAAUGGGGGGAACCCUGAUCCAGCCAUGCCGCGUGUGUGAAGAAGGCCCUCGGGUUGUAAAGCACUUUCAGUGAGGAAGAACGCCUGGUGGUUAAUACCCAUCAGGAAAGACAUCACUCACAGAAGAAGCACCGGCUAACUCCGUGCCAGCAGCCGCCGUAAUACGGAGGGUGCGAGCGUUAAUCGGAAUUACUGGGCGUAAAGCGCGCGUAGGUGGCUUGAUAAGCCGGUUGUGAAAGCCCCGGGCUCAACCUGGGAACGGCAUCCGGAACUGUCAAGCUAGAGUGCAGGAGAGGAAGGUAGAAUUCCCGGUGUAGCGGUGAAAUGCGUAGAGAUCGGGAGGAAUACCAGUGGCGAAGGCGGCCUUCUGGACUGACACUGACACUGAGGUGCGAAAGCAUGGGUAGCAAACAGGAUUAGAUACCCUAGUAGUC
RNAcentral lists this ribosomal RNA (465 nucleotides) under Vreelandella stevensii. RNAcentral describes it as "partial 16S ribosomal RNA". It matches the Rfam family "Bacterial small subunit ribosomal RNA", at positions 338 to 795 of the family's 1533-position model. The record is from RNAcentral. Lineage: Bacteria; Pseudomonadati; Pseudomonadota; Gammaproteobacteria; Oceanospirillales; Halomonadaceae.